AGUUCAGUCUCCUCCUCCGCAGCUUGAGCAGCUCAGGCUGCAACGCAGGGCUGAUGGCAUACCGACCGUGGCGCCAGACAAGGGACAUCGGAACUCGACUCAAGCGGUUGUUCAAGUCAUUAACGUUUAUUUUAAAUGUUUUAUUCAGCUUAAAGCUGAUUCUUGGAUAAUAUGAAGUGAUCCUACAAUUUUGAAUUAUUCCUCUUCGUGACGGAUUCUUGCACUCAAAAUAAAGUACAAUUUGGGAUCUUCUGGCUACUUGGAUACUAUACCUCAUCUCCUAGGAUGUCUCCUUUUGCUUGCCGAAGUGAAAUACGUAUGAAGUUGGAAUUCAUGAGUAUCUCUUAAAAACAGAUGGCAGUGCCUCAGGGGCGGUGGUAGCGGCACUUCCAUCUCGGCCGAACGAAGUAAAUGGCAUCUCAAGUGGUGACAUCGAGCCACGAGUGGAAGCGAGUGCAGAAAACGAAGAACGAUCGUCAAUAGAAAACGUAGUCUCUUCAAAUGAACGGAUUUUUUCAACAACGUCUUCAAGUGACCCAAGGACAGAGUUUUGUUUUGGAACAACCGAGGGACGUGGAUGCUAUGACAAUGAAAAAGAAGGAAUUUCUGAAGGAAAUAUCGAACCGGGCGAGUCGAUAAAUGAACGAAGCAAAGGCGAAAUUUGGCAAAGAUCCAAGUCCAAUCUUGAGUCACGAGCUGCUGGUGUUAUGGAGAAAAUUGAAUUCGACAAAAGUGUCGAUGAGGUAUACCGAGAACUAAUCAAUGAACUGAGAUUGAAAUUGGCGCUAAAUAUCGAUAGAUCAGAACAAACUGAAGGGGCACAAGCCGAAGCUAGUGGAAGCGGCAGUUGAUCUCAUUGGUUGCUCUAAAAUUUAAUGGACCAGCGUGCCUUCACAUUUAAGAUAUCAUCUGGCACUUAAAAUCCUUCGUAAUUUGAUGAAGGUGUCAUCUCAUUGAAAAGAAAAUAUGUUGAGAAAAUUUUAUUUACACUAGCCAAGAAAUUUGCUAUAUGAAGGUUAUUCACAGUUUUGACCAAAUAUGACAACAAUAACUGCCUGUUCGAGACAAUUGGAAUCAUAUUGCUAUCGAUUCAAUGAGUUACCCAAAACCACAAGAGCAGAAAUAUCUGUUGAACGAAACAUGAUACAAUAGAGUAUCUGACCGGCUGCUGUAAACUUGGAAUUGUCAUUCUUAAAACCGUCUCUUAGAAUCAGAAUUUAAAUUUUACCCCAUCGUCCUUGCGAUACAACAGGAUAUCGUACAACAGGCCGAACUUCACUUACAAAUUUAAAGCUUCCAAACAAUGAUUUGCAUCAAUUCCCCAGUUACUGAAUAGGUUCAUUCAACUAGAUGGUUUUGCAUUCAUCGUCGUAAACUAAUGCCUCUACUUCGUUUUAAAUAAUAUCCAUAGAUUGAUAAUUCGAAUGAACGGAAUCAAUAACUUAAUUAAGUAUCAGCCCCUUCUCUUCAAACAGACUUGCAAGUGAACAAUUGCAGAAUUUGGAGCAUAAAACAAAUUGCUUCAUUCAGAAAAUAUUAUUCAAGAUGUUCAAAGUCAUCUAGAAAUUUCUUCGCAAGAACCUUCUCUUCAGAGAACUUUAUCAUGCUCUACAUCUACCCUGUAGAUCCGAAUUUGUGGGACAAAAGUGAACAAAUUCGGUUCUAGAGAGGUUCGUGUGGUGCAUACAAAUCCUUCGGCAGCGCUCAUCUCGGCAUUCAAGCACAAACCGAGAACUACAUGACAUCGUUUUUUAUUAUUAGAAUAUAUUGCAGGAUUCUUUGGCUUAAUCUAUUAUUUGUAAGGCAUUUCACUCCACGUUACGAAUGAGCACACGAAUUAUAAUAGGAUUAUAUUGGCUAACUUUCUAUGAGGAUGUUAUCAAUUCUGAGCGAGUUCUUACGAGAAGGAACGAUAGUGAAAUUCAUCUGAUGUAGCCUUAAGAUUAUCAAUAUUAUUUGGUUUUGUUUUAGAUAGCCUUAGAUAGCAAUUUUUGGUAUUUAUUUAUUUUCUAAUUACAAAAAAUUCAUUCAAUUUACAUUAACAAGUGUAAUAAUAUCUAAUGUCAACUAUUCAUAAAGUGACAACGUUCAUAAUAGUUUAAUUGUAAAUAAUUUCAAUGUAUUAUAAUACUACGUCGGUAAACGAAGAUGUAUUAAGUUAUUCCAACCGGAAUAAGAAUAUACAUUCAUUCAACAAAUUUCACAAUGUACGUUGAAUAAUGGCCGGAACAUAACAAAAACUUGUUCUGUGACUGAAUUAUAACCUCCUUUCAAGGCAGAAUAUUUUCAAUCAAUUAGAAUUAUUCAAUUUAAUUUGCGCUUAAUGUUUGGCUACAACCUGUAUUUUAAAGAAUUUAAUGGGCAAGGAAGCAUCUAAGAAAUUUUUUCCUUAUUAUUUAGUGCUAGUCGCAUACAUGAAUUUGUCUAACUGGACUAUUAACUCGACACGGAACUCUGCAGCUAAGUAGCUUAGAUUGUGAAAAAAUUGCGACAAUUAUAAAGAAAUUUCUUCGUUCAGUUGAUGAGCAAGGUCAAUUCAUUUUGCAGGAAAUUUUCUGACACAAUAAUAAUACAUAAUUAGUGCUGCGAAACUGGAAAUUUCUGUGCAUGAUUGUGGAUUCCUAUUAAAUGCGUAGAAACGAUUGUGACGAGCAGUCUAAACGCUCUAAAUUUUAUUAUAAUUUACCAAAUCGAACGAAAGAAUUCUCAGGGUUUGUGAUGCUCUCGUAAUAUUUGGUCUGGACCUGAUUUUAACUGCUUGUGCUUGACUGACCUUAGUUUCCUUAGUAUUUCCUUAGUAUUUGUUUGGGACAUAGCAAUCCCAGGCCACACCAUCAAACGAAUUUCGAAAAAAUUCUUUUAUACGAAUAAUAAUAAAACUUGGACACAUCUUUAGUAAAUAUAAGGAUACCAUAAUUUUUUUAUAUUGCUGAAAAUACUUGCACAAACACAAACAAUUCCACUGUGCGUAUUAAAGCGUUUCAUAACACUGAGGGAUCUAAAAUCAAUGUGAACCUCGUAGUAGUGGCAAUUAGGUUAUUUAAAAGAAUCAUACCUAAUUCCACUGGCCAGUCCACACAAACGAGGGCUGGUAAAUAAACUUUCUUGAUGCACGAAAUUGAAACUAGUAUUCUAAACGAUA
Molecule: long non-coding RNA, 3142 nt
Organism: Hyalella azteca
Lineage: Eukaryota; Metazoa; Arthropoda; Malacostraca; Amphipoda; Hyalellidae
Exons: 2
Source: RefSeq, a predicted model, not a curated record